CAACGUUUAUGAGCAGGUGUCUUUUGUAAUUCACUACUGAUUUUAUCUAGGGAGGUGCCCGCUUAAAGCAGCAUAGAGACGGGAGGUGUCUAUGAUUGUGUCAUUUCACUGCCUUUGCAAGCGAGUUACUGUCUGGGAUGAGCUGAUAAACCACAUCUGAUGAUCACAGUGGGUCUAGAAAGAGAGGGUAGGCGUGGUCGUUGUGAUAAUGACUCCCAACAGGGUGGAUUUAGGAGAGGGUAGGGGUGAUGGUAAUGACUCCCAACAGGGUGGAUUUAGGAGUGGGUAGGUGUGAUGGUAAUGACUCCCAACAGGGUGGAUCUAGGAGAGGAUAGGGGUGAUGGUAAUGACUCCCAACAGGGUGGAUCUAGGAGAGGUUAGGGGUGAUGGUAAUGACUCCCAACAGGGUGG
Esox lucius (northern pike) is the source of this 411-nucleotide long non-coding RNA. NCBI's taxonomy places the organism in Eukaryota, Metazoa, Chordata, Actinopteri, Esociformes, Esocidae. The record is from Ensembl.